GGGGAAUAUUGCGCAAUGGGGGAAACCCUGACGCAGCAACGCCGCGUGCGGGAUGAAGGCCUUCGGGUUGUAAACCGCUUUCAGCAGGGACGACGGGUUUCUGACGGUACCUGCAGAAGAAGCCCCGGCUAACUACGUGCCAGCAGCCGCGGUAAUACGUAGGGGGCGAGCGUUGUCCGGAAUUACUGGGCGUAAAGGGAGCGUAGGCGGUCGAUUAAGUUGGAUGUGAAAUACCCGGGCUUAACUUGGGGGGUGCAUCCAAUACUGGUUGACUAGAGUACAGGAGAGGAAAGCGGAAUUCCUAGUGUAGCGGUGAAAUGCAUAGAUAUUAGGAGGAACAUCGGUGGCGAAGGCGGCUUUCUGGACUGACACUGACGCUGAGGUGCGAAAGCGUGGGGAGCAAACA
Molecule: ribosomal RNA, 406 nt
Filed under: uncultured bacterium
Lineage: Bacteria
Description: bacterial SSU rRNA
Rfam family: Bacterial small subunit ribosomal RNA
Source: RNAcentral